This is a long non-coding RNA of Clupea harengus (Atlantic herring), 1524 nucleotides long. NCBI's taxonomy places the organism in Eukaryota, Metazoa, Chordata, Actinopteri, Clupeiformes, Clupeidae. The record is from Ensembl.
UGUGUGGGGGGCGGGGGGGGUGUAUGUGCCUCUAAAUGUGUGCAUAUGUGUGUGUCUACAAGGCCUCAUAAGCGUGACAUUUGGUGGACGUGUCCCUGUAGUGACCAUAGGACAUCCCACCCAGAGGUCUCUCAAAUUAUCUUAAAAGUCCAUUUUGUAGGAGAUUUAGUGGCGUCUAGCAAUGAUGUCACAGAUUGCAACCAACCAAUAUAGCCCUCGACCCUCCCCUUUUCAAGCAUGGAUUAGUGAAUUAGUAGCGACAACAAACACCCCAACAACAAAAAACAAAAAAAAAAGAAUCAAGAUUUAAUGUUGACGAAACUAACUGAGGUUUCCUCUUUUCAGUGUUCAGACCAGAUAUUCACGUUGACACGCAUUUGAUAUGGAUUGCUACUUCGAACGUCCCCAGUUGGCUUAUUUUACUACUGCUGUUCAAAAUCAAUUAGGUCUCCACCCCUCAGAAAUCAAUUAGGUCUCCACCCCUCAGAAAUCAAUUAGGUCUCCACCCCUUUAGAAAUCAAUUAGGUCUCCACCCCGUCAGAAAUCAAUUAGGUCUCCACCCCUUUAGAAAUCAAUUAGGUCUCCACCCGUCAGAAAUCAAUUAGGUCUCCACCCGUCAGAAAUCAAUUAGGUCUCCACCCGUCAGAAAUCAAUUAGGUCUCCACCCCUCAGAAAUCAAUUAGGUCUCCACCCCUUUAGAAAUCAAUUAGGUCUCCACCCCUCAGAAAUCAAUUAGGUCUCCACCCGUCAGAAAUCAAUUAGGUCACCACCCGUGUUAAUUUUGGCAGCUAUUUUAGAUUUAGUCUUGGUCUUUAGACGAAAAUGCUUUCGUCGACGAAGUCUCAUUACAUUUUAGUCUAGUUUUAGUCACAUUUAGUCACAUUAAACUCCUUUCCUUCCUUUCUUAGGCCCAGGGACCCCUUGUGUUGUGUCUACAACUGCAUAAUAGUCAAGCUUGCCGUACAUAAAUUGUGGAUGCAAUUCGUCUCUAAGAUACAGAUCUCCUAGUAUAUGCCUACAGCUGAAUUCCAAUUAAUUCAAUGUAAAUAAUCAUUUUAAGGCAAUACUUAAUUAACAGUAUUAUCAUUAAAAUAUAAGAGAAUAUCAAGUCUAGAUUUUGAAGAUUCCUGACCUUAGAGUUAAAUCAACCACAUAUCCUCCAUAUGAACCAACAGAUUUAGCUAUACGGAUAGUUUUGAGAGUUGAAAUGAAAGUGGUGCCAAUGAUAAUAACAAUUGCAUAAAUAGACAAGGAAGGAUAUGUAAACCAAUCACAUAUUAAUUUAUUUUUUCUUGAUUAAUGUCAUGCGUGGCCUGUCCUAUAUUCCAUUCUGCAAUGCGUUUAUUUGCUAGCUAUCGAUAGCUAACUUAGCUAGCUAGUAUAACUUAGCUAUGCUACCUCAUAGUUAGCCAACGUUAGCUAGCUAAACGUUUUGGAAAUCAUUUUCCAAGGCUAACGGGAGGUUUCAAUCGAAAAUGACUAGCUAGUUAUCCAAGCUGACACAACCUAUACACUCGACUGCCC